RNAcentral lists this small RNA (171 nucleotides) under Bos mutus (wild yak). RNAcentral's name for it is "TUC338 (ENSBMUG00000002141.1)". The record is from RNAcentral. Lineage: Eukaryota; Metazoa; Chordata; Mammalia; Artiodactyla; Bovidae.
UGGUGUGUUUGGAGACUGAAGUCUUCUGUUUAUCCAUGAAACGGAUAUGGUACAGGAAUUGGCAGUGCACACCCACCACAAAGCUCAUGGCCAGUGUGGCUCUGCCUGGGCCUCAACUGUGGCUCCAGGUUUGAGGAGGUAGCUCAGUCUCCUCAGCCUUCUUUGUGAGCU